CCUACGGGUGGCAGCAGUGGGGAAUAUUGGGCAAUGGGCGCAAGCCUGACCCAGCAACGCCGCGUGAAGGAAGAAGGCUUUCGGGUUGUAAACUUCUUUUCUUAGGGGCGAAACAUGUGACGUUACCUCUGGAAUAAGCCACGGCUAACAACGUGCCAGCAGCCGCGGCGAUACGUCGGUGGCAAGAGUUAUCCGGAAUUACUGGGUGUAAAGGUCGUGUAGGCGGGAAUGCAAGUCAGAUGUGAAAACUAUGGGCUCAACCUGUGGACUGCAGUUGACACUGGUUUUCUUGAGUACUGGAGAGGUAGACGGAAUGCCUGGUGUAGUGGUGAAAUGCGUAGAUAUGAGGAGGAACACCAGUGGCGAAGGCGGUCUGCUGGACAGUAACUGACGCUGAGGCGCGAAAGCGUGGGGAGCAAACAGGAUUAGAUACCCUGGUAGUC
RNAcentral lists this ribosomal RNA (443 nucleotides) under uncultured bacterium. RNAcentral's name for it is "partial 16S ribosomal RNA". It matches the Rfam family "Bacterial small subunit ribosomal RNA", at positions 338 to 795 of the family's 1533-position model. The record is from RNAcentral.